RNAcentral lists this non-coding RNA (26 nucleotides) under Cricetulus griseus (Chinese hamster). The record is from RNAcentral. Lineage: Eukaryota; Metazoa; Chordata; Mammalia; Rodentia; Cricetidae.
AGGGCUUGGUGGCUUAAUGGUAGAGC